Molecule: non-coding RNA, 167 nt
Organism: Pelobates cultripes (western spadefoot toad)
Lineage: Eukaryota; Metazoa; Chordata; Amphibia; Anura; Pelobatidae
Source: the annotation of a GenBank genome assembly
GGUCAGCUGACACAUCCCUGCCAAUCUCCGGCAGACCCUCCCUCCCAGACCCUCCUACUUCCUGGACAGCAUCCAUGUUGAAGGCAGCUUCAACAUGGAUGCUGUCCAGGAGGUGGGAGGGUCUGGGAGGGAGGGUCUGCCGGAGAUUGGCAGGGAUGUGUCAGUUG